GAUGAAGAACAUAGCGAAAUGCGAUACUUGGUGUGAAUUGCAGAAUCCCGUGAACCAUCGAGUCUUUGAACGCAAGUUGCGCCCGAAGCCAUCAGGUUGAGGGCACGUCUGCCUGGGCGUCACAUAUCGUUGCCCAAUGCCUAUUGCAGUGCAAUAGGAAUUUCUAGGGCGAAUGAUGGCUUCCCGUGAGCGUUGUUGCCUCGCGGUUGGUUGAAAAUCGAGUCCUUGGUAGGGUGUGCCAUGGUAGAUGGUGGUCGAGUUAGAACGAUACCGAUCAUGUGCAUGCUCCCCAAAAUAUGGCCUCUAUGACCCACACGCGUCUUUUGACGCUCAUGACGAGACCUCAGGUCAGGCGGGGCUACCCGCUGAAUUUAAGCAUAUCAAUAAGCGGAGGA
This 395-nucleotide unclassified non-coding RNA is filed under the name soil metagenome. RNAcentral describes it as "partial contains 5.8S ribosomal RNA, internal transcribed spacer 2, and large subunit ribosomal RNA". The stretch from base 1 to 122 matches the Rfam family "5.8S ribosomal RNA", at positions 35 to 154 of the family's 154-position model. The record is from RNAcentral.